UGGGGAAUAUUGGACAAUGGGCGAAAGCCUGAUCCAGCCAUGCCGCGUGUGUGAAGAAGGUCUUCGGAUUGUAAAGCACUUUAAGUUGGGAGGAAGGGCAGUAAGCGAAUACCUUGCUGUUUUGACGUUACCGACAGAAUAAGCACCGGCUAACUCUGUGCCAGCAGCCGCGGUAAUACAGAGGGUGCAAGCGUUAAUCGGAAUUACUGGGCGUAAAGCGCGCGUAGGUGGUUCGUUAAGUUGAAUGUGAAAGCCCCGGGCUCAACCUGGGAACUGCAUCCGAAACUGGCGAGCUCGAGUAGGGCAGAGGGUGGUGGAAUUUCCUGUGUAACGGUGAAAUGCGUAGAUAUAGGAAGGAACACCAGUGGCGAAGGCGACCACCUGGGCUCAUACUGACACUGAGGUGCGAAAGCGUGGGGAGCAAACAGG
Molecule: ribosomal RNA, 429 nt
Filed under: Pseudomonadota bacterium
Lineage: Bacteria; Pseudomonadati; Pseudomonadota
Description: Proteobacteria bacterium partial 16S ribosomal RNA
Rfam family: Bacterial small subunit ribosomal RNA
Source: RNAcentral